Molecule: ribosomal RNA, 255 nt
Filed under: uncultured bacterium
Lineage: Bacteria
Description: partial 16S ribosomal RNA
Rfam family: Bacterial small subunit ribosomal RNA
Source: RNAcentral
GAUCCUGGCUCAGGAUGAACGCUAGCUACAGGCUUAACACAUGCAAGUCGAGGGGCAUCGGGAAGAAAGCUUGCUUUCUUUGCUGGCGACCGGCGCACGGGUGAGUAACACGUAUCCAACCUGCCCUUUACUCGGGGAUAGCCUUUCGAAGAAAGAUUAAUACCCGAUAGCAUAAUGAUUCCGCAUGGUUUCAUUAUUAAAGGAUUCCGGUAAGGAUGGGGAGUGCGUUCCAUUAGGUUGUUGGUGAGGUAACGG